AAGGAAUGAAGGCCCUCUCUUUGGGUGAUUAGCCUUUGCUUAUGCAAGAGGAAUCUACAAAGGUAUAAUUUCUCAACUAACAAAUGUUGUUUUAAGUUGAGUCAAGGUUCACCAAUCUACUAGGCUUUGAAUUUCAUGGUUAAUGUUUUGUUUUUUAGUGCAUGCAAGCAUGAUUCCGCCUUUUAAUUGUUAAUUGCAUGCUAUAGAUGUUGCUCAAAUGAACAUGUUUUUUACAAAAUUACCUUCAAUAACUUCUCAUACAUUGCUCAAUUGGGGUGUUUGAAUAUACCAACAUGACCUACAAAACCCCACGAACAUUCCCAUAUUUUGAAAAUAAUUUUCUAACAUCUCACGCGCCCUCACGU
Molecule: long non-coding RNA, 365 nt
Filed under: Malus domestica (apple)
Lineage: Eukaryota; Viridiplantae; Streptophyta; Magnoliopsida; Rosales; Rosaceae
Description: long non-coding RNA (MDOM_LNC008234)
Source: RNAcentral